RNAcentral lists this transfer RNA (72 nucleotides) under Nitrospira sp. Its description in RNAcentral is "tRNA-Trp". It matches the Rfam family "tRNA", at positions 15 to 71 of the family's 71-position model. From Rfam's summary of the family: Transfer RNA (tRNA) molecules are approximately 80 nucleotides in length. Their secondary structure includes four short double-helical elements and three loops (D, anti-codon, and T loops). Further hydrogen bonds mediate the characteristic L-shaped molecular structure. tRNAs have two regions of fundamental functional importance: the anti-codon, which is responsible for specific mRNA codon recognition, and the 3' end, to which the tRNAs corresponding amino acid is attached (by aminoacyl-tRNA synthetases). tRNAs cope with the degeneracy of the genetic code in two manners: having more than one tRNA (with a specific anti-codon) for a particular amino acid; and 'wobble' base-pairing, i.e. permitting non-standard base-pairing at the 3rd anti-codon position. Lineage: Bacteria; Pseudomonadati; Nitrospirota; Nitrospiria; Nitrospirales; Nitrospiraceae. The record is from RNAcentral.
CUGGCCAACGAGAUGGCAGCACAUCGGUCUCCAAAACCGAGAGUCUAGGUUCAAAUCCUAGUGCCCCUGCCA